Molecule: long non-coding RNA, 1090 nt
Organism: Mandrillus leucophaeus (drill)
Lineage: Eukaryota; Metazoa; Chordata; Mammalia; Primates; Cercopithecidae
Exons: 3
Source: RefSeq, a predicted model, not a curated record
GGCUCCUUUCCUCACAUGUCUGGCCCUGGCCUGGAGCACUGGAGGAUGAUGUCUGCUGACUACAGCGUCCAUCCGGGUCCUUCCCAGGCGCUGUGGCCUCCCUCACGGCAUGGCUGCCUCGGGUACUCGGACUUCACAUGGAAGCCCAGGGCUCCAAGAUCAAAUGCCCCAGCAAGACAGAAGCUCAGCCAUCUUUGAUGACCUAGAAGCUAGGUAGCACCCAUUGUACUGCCUUCUAUGGGUUGUGAGUGAGUCUCAAACCUGCCUUGACUCAAGGAAACAGAAUUAGACUCUACGUCUUGAUGGGUUGUGGCCAAGUUCUGGAAGCACAUGAGUGGGGGAUACUGUGACAUUUUCAUCUUUGGAAAACACCAUCUAGCACACCUGAAUCUGCUUUCAGGGGGUGUAAAGGGAUUUCCACAGCAAAAUUUGAAGCCACAUGUGGUCAGCACUUUGUACUGUGGAAACAAAGUGCUCUGGGCAUCCAGAAAGGGGGUAAGUUUUUUCUUACUGGGAUAAAUCUGGCUGCAUUUUAGGUAAUCCUGGAAAAUUGAUCGACAAAAGCAAAGGACCAAGAAAGCUGCUUAUACCAGUGUCUCCUCCCACCCUCAGCCUCCAGUAGCAUCGCUAUAUUUUUCCAUUUUAUUUGUGUCACUUUAAAUAAGGACAUUGAGAGGGAAAAGGCCUCAUCGACAUAGCAACUAUAGGCUAGGUGGGCCUUUGGUGCACACACCCCCCAGCACCCACAGAUAUCCGGGCCUCCUGUGUAUGAAUGUGUGCCAAGAAUUUAGACCUAUUUCUUGCCUUCUGGGCUCUCUAUUCCUCAUCCUCCAUCCAAGUGGCCGUGUUGUGCAGGCCCUGAAAGCAGCAGAUCUUGCCAUUGGAGGAUGAGAAGCCACAUGAAGAAGAAAGAAGACGCCCCAGACAGCAGUGCAGUACCACCUUCCAGAGAUGCCAGUGUGACCGUCUUUGGUCUUCUAGCCCAACUGCUUUCCCUGAAUGCAAUGCAUAAGCAGGCCAGGCAAAAGGAGAAGGGGAAGCUGCCCAGCUAACCCACAGAAUUAUGAGAGAUAAAAAAUCAUUGUCUUAA